RNAcentral lists this transfer RNA (75 nucleotides) under Clostridium aminobutyricum. RNAcentral's name for it is "tRNA-Glu". It matches the Rfam family "tRNA". Rfam says of the family: Transfer RNA (tRNA) molecules are approximately 80 nucleotides in length. Their secondary structure includes four short double-helical elements and three loops (D, anti-codon, and T loops). Further hydrogen bonds mediate the characteristic L-shaped molecular structure. tRNAs have two regions of fundamental functional importance: the anti-codon, which is responsible for specific mRNA codon recognition, and the 3' end, to which the tRNAs corresponding amino acid is attached (by aminoacyl-tRNA synthetases). tRNAs cope with the degeneracy of the genetic code in two manners: having more than one tRNA (with a specific anti-codon) for a particular amino acid; and 'wobble' base-pairing, i.e. permitting non-standard base-pairing at the 3rd anti-codon position. Lineage: Bacteria; Bacillati; Bacillota; Clostridia; Eubacteriales; Clostridiaceae. RNAcentral also lists the same sequence under 17 other names. The record is from RNAcentral.
GGCUCCAUGGUCAAGCGGUCAAGACACCGCCCUUUCACGGCGGUAACCCGGGUUCGAUUCCCGGUGGAGUCACCA